GUGGUUAGAAUCAGCCUGGCCAAAGAGUCUGAAUUAGAAUCACCCACUGCAAAAACAAAUAGAAUAUCAGAAUGGGCGAUGAAUAUAAGCAAAGUGAAGUGCAACAAUUAAUUGGACAACAUGGUAGGAUCUUCCGUCAUUGAGAAAGGAACCGAAGAGGAGUCAACACGACUCCGUGGCUGUGUUGCAUGGAGGGGAGAUCGUGUUCGCCGCUCUCCGUCACCGCACCACCCCUCUCAAAUUCCUUGCUGCCAUCGAAGAUGAGGAGGAUGAGAGGAUUUAAGAGUUUGUCCUCAUUCUUAUAAGAUUAGGGAUUCAAAUCCCUUAGCCAUCGAAGGUGAGGAGGAAGAGAGGAUUUGGGGGUUUGUCCCUAUUCUUCGAAGGUUAGGGUUGCUAAUCCUUUGGCCACGUGAAAAAUGAGAAAGAGAGUAUGAGAUUUAGGAAAAAUUUUCUUUUUUCUCCCUUUACCAUUGGCCACCACCGUAGGAUGACGAGGCUAGAGCAAGUCAGGGGAUAAACCCCAUUCUUCUAAAAUCUGCACGUGAGAUUU
RNAcentral lists this long non-coding RNA (550 nucleotides) under Lupinus angustifolius (narrow-leaved blue lupine). RNAcentral's name for it is "long non-coding RNA (LANG_LNC001290)". The record is from RNAcentral. Lineage: Eukaryota; Viridiplantae; Streptophyta; Magnoliopsida; Fabales; Fabaceae.